AACGCACAUUGCGCCCCCUGGUAUUCCGGGGGGCAUGCCUGUUCGAGCGUCAUUUCACCACUCAAGCCUCGCUUGGUAUUGGGCGACGCGGUCCGCCGCGCGCCUCAAAUCGACCUGCUGGGUCUUUCGUCCCCUCAGCGUUGUGGAAACUAUUCGCUAAAGGGUGCCGCGGGAGGCCACGCCGUAAAACAACCCCAUUUCUAAGGUUGACCUCGGAUCAGGUAGGGAUACCCGCUGAACUUAA
Molecule: unclassified non-coding RNA, 244 nt
Filed under: uncultured fungus
Lineage: Eukaryota; Fungi
Description: sequence contains ITS2
Rfam family: 5.8S ribosomal RNA (bases 1-52)
Source: RNAcentral